UACGUAGGGUGCGAGCGUUAAUCGGAAUUACUGGGCGUAAAGCGUGCGCAGGCGGUUUUGUAAGUCAGAUGUGAAAUCCCCGGGCUCAACCUGGGAAUGGCAUUUGGGACUGCAAGGCUGGAGUGCGGCAGAGGAGACUGGAAUUCCUGGUGUAGCAGUGAAAUGCGUAGAUAUCAGGAGGAAUACCGAUGGCGAAGGCAGGUCUCUGGGCUGACACUGACGCUCAUGCACGAAAGCGUGGGGAGCAAACAGG
RNAcentral lists this ribosomal RNA (253 nucleotides) under uncultured bacterium. RNAcentral's name for it is "partial 16S ribosomal RNA". It matches the Rfam family "Bacterial small subunit ribosomal RNA", at positions 524 to 776 of the family's 1533-position model. The record is from RNAcentral.